Molecule: ribosomal RNA, 496 nt
Filed under: uncultured bacterium
Lineage: Bacteria
Description: partial 16S ribosomal RNA
Rfam family: Bacterial small subunit ribosomal RNA
Source: RNAcentral
AUGAACGCUGGCGGCGUGCCUAAUACAUGCAAGUCGAGCGAACAGACGAGGAGCUUGCUCCUCUGACGUUAGCGGCGGACGGGUGAGUAACACGUGGAUAACCUACCUAUAAGACUGGGAUAACUUCGGGAAACCGGAGAUAAUACCGGCUACUAUAUUGAACCGCAUGGUUCCAUAGUGAAAGACGGUUUUGCUGUCACUUAUAGAUGGAUCCGCGCCGCAUUAGCUAGUUGGUAAGGUAACGGCUUACCAAGGCAACGAUGCGUAGCCGACCUGAGAGGGUGAUCGGCCACACUGGAACUGAGACACGGUCCAGACUCCUACGGGAGGCAGCAGUAGGGAAUCUUCCGCAAUGGGCGAAAGCCUGACGGAGCAACGCCGCGUGAGUGAUGAAGGUCUUCGGAUCGUAAAACUCUGUUAUUAGGGAAGAACAAAUGUGUAAGUAACUAUGCACGUCUUGACGGUACCUAAUCAGAAAGCCACGGCUAACUACGUG